This 497-nucleotide ribosomal RNA is filed under the name uncultured bacterium. RNAcentral's name for it is "partial 16S ribosomal RNA". It matches the Rfam family "Bacterial small subunit ribosomal RNA", at positions 28 to 507 of the family's 1533-position model. The record is from RNAcentral.
GAUGAACGCUGGCGGCGUGCCUAAUACAUGCAAGUCGAGCGAACAGACGAGGAGCUUGCUCCUCUGACGUUAGCGGCGGACGGGUGAGUAACACGUGUAUAACCUACCUAUAAGACUGGGAUAACUUCGGGAAACCGGAGCUAAUACCGGAUAAUAUAUUGAACCGCAUGGUUCAAUAGUGAAAGACGGUUUUGCUGUCACUUAUAGAUGGAUCCGCGCCGCAUUAGCUAGUUGGUAAGGUAAAGGCUUACCAAGGCAACGAUGCGUAGCCGACCUGAGAGGGUGAUCGGCCACACUGGAACUGAGACACGGUCCAGACUCCUACGGGAGGCAGCAGUAGGGAAUCUUCCGCAAUGGGCGAAAGCCUGACGGAGCAACGCCGCGUGAGUGAUGAAGGUCUUCGGAUCGUAAAACUCUGUUAUUAGGGAAGAACAAAUGUGUAAGUAACUAUGCCCGUCUUGACGGUACCUAAUCAGAAAGCCACGGCUAACUACGUG